RNAcentral lists this ribosomal RNA (253 nucleotides) under uncultured bacterium. RNAcentral's name for it is "partial 16S ribosomal RNA". It matches the Rfam family "Bacterial small subunit ribosomal RNA", at positions 524 to 776 of the family's 1533-position model. The record is from RNAcentral.
UACGUAGGGUGCAAGCGUUAAUCGGAAUUACUGGGCGUAAAGCGUGCGCAGGCGGCUUUGCAAGACAGAUGUGAAAUCCCCGGGCUUAACCUGGGGACUGCAUUUGUGACUGCAUGGCUAGAGUGCGGCAGAGGGGGAUGGAAUUCCGCGUGUAGCAGUGAAAUGCGUAGAUAUGCGGAGGAACACCGAUGGCGAAGGCAAUCCCCUGGGCCUGCACUGACGCUCAUGCACGAAAGCGUGGGGAGCAAACAGG